CACUUGAGGACUCACCUCUCUGGUUUUGUUGCAGAAAGGCUCAGCCAUGGGGAUGUGACUCACUCCGGUUGGACUGGUGGGCUGUCCGUCAUACAGCGUCUGAGCUCUCUUGAUCAGAUCUGGGCUAACGCGACUGUGAGAAGGAAGAAUCUGCAAAACAGCUGACGGCUCGCCAGUAAGGGCGUGCCUCAAGAAGAGAAAUGACCCCUUCCCAUAGUGACUGUGGUGACUGCAGGAACGCCGUUGCAGGAUGACGACCACUGGAAUACAACUCUGCACUUCUUGUUAAUUCAAUGGUUGUAUUCUUGUAGCUUGCGUGUGGAGCGCUUGCCUUCUGCAAGUGCAUUCUGACAGAGUAAGGAAAAUGUCUGAACCAUAACCUGCUCCUGUGCUUACAUUCCACUCACCUGUCA
Molecule: long non-coding RNA, 413 nt
Organism: Pungitius pungitius (ninespine stickleback)
Lineage: Eukaryota; Metazoa; Chordata; Actinopteri; Perciformes; Gasterosteidae
Exons: 3
Source: RefSeq, a predicted model, not a curated record